GUUGAUUAGUUUAAGUAAAACAUAAAUUUUGUAAGUUUAAUUUCUAAAUAUAUA
Molecule: transfer RNA, 54 nt
Filed under: Oxyopes hupingensis
Lineage: Eukaryota; Metazoa; Arthropoda; Arachnida; Araneae; Oxyopidae
Description: tRNA-Thr
Source: RNAcentral